Non-coding RNA from Phyllostomus hastatus (greater spear-nosed bat), 630 nucleotides. NCBI's taxonomy places the organism in Eukaryota, Metazoa, Chordata, Mammalia, Chiroptera, Phyllostomidae. The record is from the annotation of a RefSeq genome assembly.
UUCAAUACCUCCAGGGUCUCUUCCCACUGUCUCUCUAGCCUUCUGCACAUUCUGCACACACAGGCAGGUGGUCCCCAGAGCUGAGUGUGUUUCCUCAUUUGUCUUCCUGCAAGUGCCUGUAGCUACCAGGGGCCCCUUCCCACUAUGGGCAGCCAGGUGCUCUGCUGUGUGGUUCUUUGUCUCCUGGGAGCAGGCACAUUGGGUGGUGGAAUCACUCAGACCCCAAAAUACCUGUCCAGAGGGGAAGGACAAGUUGUGACCCUGCACUGUGAACAGGACUUAGGCCAUAACGCCAUGUACUGGUACCGACAGGACCCCGGGCAGGGGUUGAGGCUGAUCUACUUCUCCCCAGCUGAAAAAAUUGUUGAGAAUGGAGACCUGGCUGGAGGCUACCAGACCUCUCGGGAGAAGAAGGCAUUCUUUCCUCUCACCGUGACAUCUGCCCGGAAGAACCAGACAGCUGUGUACCUCUGUGCCAGCAGCUUAGACACAGUGGGGCACAGCCACCUCCUGUCUGUGCAUAAAUGGGUCCCCAGGGCCGCUUGCUCACCAGGUGGCAGGGCUUCGCUGUGCUCAGUACCCGGCCCUGCCCGCCUUCUUCCACCUCAGCCCACCACCCACAGCCGCUAG